This 253-nucleotide ribosomal RNA is filed under the name uncultured bacterium. RNAcentral's name for it is "partial 16S ribosomal RNA". It matches the Rfam family "Bacterial small subunit ribosomal RNA", at positions 524 to 776 of the family's 1533-position model. The record is from RNAcentral.
UACGUAGGUGGCAAGCGUUGUCCGGAAUUAUUGGGCGUAAAGCGCGCGCAGGCGGUCCUUUAAGUCUGAUGUGAAAGCCCACGGCUCAACCGUGGAGGGUCAUUGGAAACUGGGGGACUUGAGUGCAGAAGAGGAAAGCGGAAUUCCACGUGUAGCGGUGAAAUGCGUAGAGAUGUGGAGGAACACCGGUGGCGAAGGCGGCCUGCUGGGCUAUGGCUGACACUGAGACGCGACAGCGUGGGGAGCAAACAGG